GUAAGGGAUAUUGCACAAUGGGCGCAAGCCUGAUGCAGCAACGCCGCGUGCCUGAGGAAGGCCUUCGGGUCGUAAAGGGCUUUUCUGGCUGAAGAGCAAGGACAGUAGGCCAGGAAGAAGUGUCGGCUAACUACGUGCCAGCAGCCGCGGUAAAACGUAGGACGCGAGCGUUAUCCGGAGUUACUGGGCGUAAAGGGCGGGCAGGCGGACGGACAAGUUGGCGGUGAAAGCGCCCGGCUCAACCAGGCGAGGCCCGUCGAAACUGUCCGACUGGAGGGCAAGGGAGGCGCGUGGAAUUCCCGGUGGAGUGGUGAAAUGCGUAGAGAUCGGGAGGAACACCAGAGGCGAAGGCGGCGCGCUGACUUGCACCUGACGCUGAACCGCGAAAGCCAGGGGAGCGAACGGGAUUAGAAACCCCGGUAGUCC
This 426-nucleotide ribosomal RNA is filed under the name uncultured bacterium. RNAcentral describes it as "bacterial SSU rRNA". It matches the Rfam family "Bacterial small subunit ribosomal RNA", at positions 354 to 796 of the family's 1533-position model. The record is from RNAcentral.